UCUUGAGCAGAGAUUAUGCAUAUGUUGGAUUACUUCAGAGGCACUUCUGUGUAUCCCGUGAGGCUAGUGAAGCUGCUGCAGUAACCAAUAGCUGCUGCAACUCUUCAAACUCUGUUUCCGAACUUUCCAAAGCUCCUUCCACCUCCCCUGCAACAACAGCCGCUGAGGAUCUGAUUGUGAAGUACAAGUCCCAGCUGAAAAUAAACCCGAGGCAUGACUUCAUGAUGGUGUUUACCUGCAAGGUAUGCGAGACUAGGUCUAUGAAGAUGGCCAGCCGAGAAUCAUACGACAAGGGGGUUGUCGUGGUGCGAUGUGAAGGGUGUGAUAAUCUGCAUUUGAUUGCGGACCGUCUUGGUUGGUUUGGAGAACCGGGGAGCGUGGAGG
RNAcentral lists this long non-coding RNA (384 nucleotides) under Brassica rapa (field mustard). Its description in RNAcentral is "long non-coding RNA (BRAP_LNC007239)". Lineage: Eukaryota; Viridiplantae; Streptophyta; Magnoliopsida; Brassicales; Brassicaceae. The record is from RNAcentral.